This 259-nucleotide unclassified non-coding RNA is filed under the name Bombus terrestris (buff-tailed bumblebee). RNAcentral describes it as "misc RNA ENSBTSG00005039064.1". The record is from RNAcentral. Lineage: Eukaryota; Metazoa; Arthropoda; Insecta; Hymenoptera; Apidae.
GUGAAUUUUUGCUUCCAGCGAGAUAUCCUGAUAAAAUUUAUCGAAACAAACUGUCUAUGACCUUUGUCAUUUUCAAGUAACCCAACAUCUCCAAAAAGUGUUAAAUCGCUUAAUUUUUAAACAGGAAAAUCCUGAUUCGUUUUGUCUACUUCUAAUUGUAAAAUAAAAUUUCUCCUCUGAUAUAUCCUAACAUCUGUGAAUAUUAACAACGACACCGUCAGAUCGUUUGUCAUUAAUUCUUCAAAAAUACAAUACUUCC